UGUUGACCUCGGAUCAGGUAGGAAUACCCGCUGAACUUAAGCAUAUCAAUAANNCGGAGGA
Molecule: ribosomal RNA, 61 nt
Filed under: Fusarium sp.
Lineage: Eukaryota; Fungi; Ascomycota; Sordariomycetes; Hypocreales; Nectriaceae
Description: partial 28S ribosomal RNA
Source: RNAcentral